GUCGGGAGUUAGGAAAUGCAAGGAUGUUAAUAGCAUCUUUGCUUGACUAAGGCUCCGGAGGAAGCCACGGCUAACUCUGUGCCAGCAGCCGCGGUAAUACAGAGGCGGCAAGCGUUGUUCGGAAUUAUUGGGCGUAAAGAGCACGUAGGCGGCCGUGUAAGUCGGUUGUGAAAGCCUUCCGCUCAACGGGAGAACGGCAUCCGAUACUGCAUGGCUCGAGUGCGGGAGGGGAGAGUGGAACUUCUGG
Molecule: ribosomal RNA, 247 nt
Filed under: uncultured bacterium
Lineage: Bacteria
Description: partial 16S ribosomal RNA
Rfam family: Bacterial small subunit ribosomal RNA
Source: RNAcentral